AAUAGAUACCCAGGUAGUCCAUGCCGUAAACGUUGGGCACUAGGUGUGGGGCUCAUUCCACGAGUUCCGUGCCGCAGCAAACGCAUUAAGUGCCCCGCCUGGGGAGUACGGCCGCAAGGCUAAAACUCAAAGGAAUUGACGGGGGCCCGCACAAGCGGCGGAGCAUGCGGAUUAAUUCGAUGCAACGCGAAGAACCUUACCAAGGCUUGACAUGCACGAGAAGCCACCAGAGAUGGUGGUCUCUUUGGACACUCGUGCACAGGUGGUGCAUGGUUGUCGUCAGCUCGUGUCGUGAGAUGUUGGGUUAAGUCCCGCAACGAGCGCAACCCUCGUCCCAUGUUGCCAGCGGGUUAUGCCGGGGACUCAUGGGAGACUGCCGGGGUCAACUCGGAGGAAGGUGGGGAUGACGUCAAAUCAUCAUGCCCCUUAUGUCUUGGGCUUCACGCAUGCUACAAUGGCCGGUACAAAGGGCUGCGAUACCGUAAGGUGGAGCGAAUCCCAAAAGCCGGUCUCAGUUCGGAUUGGGGUCG
Molecule: ribosomal RNA, 530 nt
Filed under: uncultured bacterium
Lineage: Bacteria
Description: bacterial SSU rRNA
Rfam family: Bacterial small subunit ribosomal RNA
Source: RNAcentral